CAUGUCCUUUAGAUUUUAAUUUAAGGUCUAAUCUGCUCAAUGAUAGUUAAAUAGCCGCAGUAUUUUGACUGUGCGAAGGUAGCAUAAUAAUUAGUUUUUUUAUUGGAAGCUGGAAUGAAUGAUUGGACGAAGGAUUAACUGUCUCUUUAGAAUUUAUUUUGAAUUUAACUUUUAAGUGAAAAGGCUUAAAUUAUUUUCAAAGACGAGAAGACCCUAUAGAGUUUAACAUAUUUAUUUUAGAAAGUUCUUUGGAAUUGAUUUAUUUUUUAAUUGGUUUGUUUGGUUGGGGUGAUUAGAAGAUUUGAUUAACUCUUCUAUGUUUUUGUUACUUAUUAGUAAUUUUUUAUUCUAUAAUUUUUAAGUUUAAAUUAAAUUACCUUAGGGAUAACAGCGUUAUUUUCCUUUAGAGUUCUUAUUAAUAGGAAAGUUUGCGACCUCGAUGUUGGAUUAAAAUUUAAGCUGGGCGCAGUAGCUCAUGCUGCUAAGUCUGUUCGACUUUUAGAAUUUUACAUGAUCUGAGU
Molecule: ribosomal RNA, 521 nt
Filed under: Drilus sp. UPOL RK0081
Lineage: Eukaryota; Metazoa; Arthropoda; Insecta; Coleoptera; Elateridae
Description: partial 16S ribosomal RNA
Rfam family: Bacterial large subunit ribosomal RNA
Source: RNAcentral